AAGUCGUAACAAGGUUUCCGUAGGUGAACCUGCGGAAGGAUCAUUAACGAGUAACGUCCCCGGGGUCACACCCGAGGGACCAACCUCCCACCCAUUGCGAAUCAUACCUUUGUUGCUUUGGCGGGCCGUGGCCUCGCUGCCGCCGCUGGCCGUUCGGCUGGCGAGCGCCCGUCAGAGACCCCCGAAACUCCACGUAUCGGUGACGUCUGAGUCAAAAUUUAAUGACAUAAAACUUUCAACAACGGAUCUCUUGGUUCUGGCAUCGAUGAAGAACGCAGCGAAAUGCGAUAAGUAAUGUGAAUUGCAGAAUUCAGUGAAUCAUCGAAUCUUUGAACGCACAUUGCGCCCUCUGGUAUUCCGGGGGGCAUGCCUGUUCGAGCGUCAUGAUCAACAUCAAGCUCAGCUUGGUCUUGGGUGACCGUCCCCUGGGACGCACCUGGAAAUCAGCGGCGGUGCGGCCGAGACACCAGCGUAGUAACUACUCCCGCUCGGUGGCCUCGGGUGCGUCAGCCGGACGACCCCUCAUCAUAUUCACGUUUGACCUCGGAUCGGGUAGGGAUACCCGCUGAACUUAAGCAUAUCAAUAAGCGGAGGAAAAGAAACCAACAGGGAUUGCCUCAGUAACGGCGAGUGAAGCGGCAACAGCUCAAAUUUGAAAUCUGGCCUCACGGUCCGAGUUGUAAUUUGUAGAGGAUGUCUCGGGUGCGGCACCGGUCUAAGUUCCUUGGAACAGGGCGUCAUAGAGGGUGAGAAUCCCGUACGUGNCCGGCCGCCAAUCCCAUGUGAGGCCCCUUCGACGAGUCGAGUUGUUUGGGAAUGCAGCUCAAAAUGGGUGGUAAAUUUCAUCUAAAGCUAAAUACCGGCCAGAGACCGAUAGCGCACAAGUAGAGUGAUCGAAAGAUGAAAAGCACUUUGGAAAGAGAGUUAAACAGUACGUGAAAUUGUUGAAAGGGAAGCGCUUGCAACCAGACUUGCCCGCGGGUGAUCAACCGCCGUUCUCGGUGGUGCACUCGCCCGUGGUCAGGCCAGCAUCGGUUUUGGCGGCUGGACAAAGGCCUUGGGAACGUGGCUCCUCUCGGGGAGUGUUAUAGCCCAGGGUGCAAUGCAGCCAGCCGGGACCGAGGACCGCGCUUCGGCUAGGAUGCUGGCGUAAUGGUUGUCAGCGACC
Molecule: ribosomal RNA, 1168 nt
Filed under: uncultured fungus
Lineage: Eukaryota; Fungi
Description: eukaryotic LSU rRNA
Rfam family: Eukaryotic large subunit ribosomal RNA (bases 539-1168)
Source: RNAcentral